RNAcentral lists this ribosomal RNA (456 nucleotides) under uncultured Rhodoferax sp. Its description in RNAcentral is "bacterial SSU rRNA". It matches the Rfam family "Bacterial small subunit ribosomal RNA", at positions 924 to 1382 of the family's 1533-position model. Lineage: Bacteria; Pseudomonadati; Pseudomonadota; Betaproteobacteria; Burkholderiales; Comamonadaceae. The record is from RNAcentral.
CACAAGCGGUGGAUGAUGUUGGUUUAAUUCGAUGCAACGCGAAAACCUUACCACCUUGACAUGUACGGAACCCUUUAGAGAUAGAGGGGUGCUCGAAAGAGAGCCGUAACACAGGUGCUGCAUGGCUGUCGUCAGCUCGUGUCGUGAGAUGUUGGGUUAAGUCCCGCAACGAGCGCAACCCUUGUCAUUAGUUGCUACAUUCAGUUGGGCACUCUAAUGAGACUGCCGGUGACAAGCCGGAGGAAGGUGGGGAUGACGUCAAGUCCUCAUGGCCCUUAUAGGUGGGGCUACACACGUCAUACAAUGGCUGGUACAAAGGGUUGCCAACCCGCGAGGGGGAGCCAAUCCCAUAAAGCCAGUCGUAGUCCGGAUCGUAGUCUGCAACUCGACUACGUGAAGUCGGAAUCGCUAGUAAUCGUGGAUCAGAAUGUCACGGUGAAUACGUUCCCGGGUCUU